Molecule: ribosomal RNA, 253 nt
Filed under: uncultured bacterium
Lineage: Bacteria
Description: partial 16S ribosomal RNA
Rfam family: Bacterial small subunit ribosomal RNA
Source: RNAcentral
UACGUAGGGGGCAAGCGUUGUCCGGAAUCAUUGGGCGUAAAGAGCGUGUAGGCGGUCCGGCAAGUCGGCUGUGAAAGUCCAGGGCUCAACCCUGGGAUGCCGGUCGAUACUGCCGGACUAGAGUUCGGAAGAGGCGAGUGGAAUUCCCGGUGUAGCGGUGAAAUGCGCAGAUAUCGGGAGGAACACCUAUGGCGAAGGCAGCUCGCUGGGACGUUACUGACGCUGAGACGCGAAAGCGUGGGGAGCAAACAGG